AUCGGACAGGGAUAAUGCCGUAGGUGCUGGUUUUAUUCUUAGAGAUUGUUAUGGUCGUCUAGUCCAUGAUGGUGGAAAGAGAUCAGCUUGUGUUUAGUUUCUUUUGCUGAAUUGGCUGCAGCUUGGGAGGAGCUAUGUUUGGCUGUUUUCAAAUUUAAGGCUGCUCAAGUUUCAUUAGAAGGUGACUCGGUUACCAUCAUCUCCUGGAUUAAUGGCUUGCAUGCUCGUAGGCCUAAAAUUAACCCUCUGUUAAGAGAUAUUUUGCAGAUGA
This 271-nucleotide long non-coding RNA is filed under the name Phoenix dactylifera (date palm). Its description in RNAcentral is "long non-coding RNA (PDAC_LNC000234)". The record is from RNAcentral. Lineage: Eukaryota; Viridiplantae; Streptophyta; Magnoliopsida; Arecales; Arecaceae.